Molecule: non-coding RNA, 24 nt
Filed under: Rattus norvegicus (Norway rat)
Lineage: Eukaryota; Metazoa; Chordata; Mammalia; Rodentia; Muridae
Source: RNAcentral
UACCAUGAAGAAGAAUGACUCAGG